CNGGCGAUACGGGCAUAACUAGAGUGCUGUAGGGGAGACUGGAAUUCCUGGUGUAGCGGUGGAAUGCGCAGAUAUCAGGAGGAACACCGAUGGCGAAGGCAGGUCUCUGGGCAGUAACUGACGCUGAGGAGCGAAAGCAUGGGGAGCGAACAGGAUUAGAUACCCUGGUAGUCCAUGCUGUAAACGGUGGGCGUUAGGUGUGGGGACCGGUUUGGUUUCUGUGCCGUAGCUAACGCAUUAAGCGCCCCGCCUGGGGAGUACGGCCGCAAGGCUAAAACUCAAAGGAAUUGACGGGGGCCCGCACAAGCGGCGGAGCAUGUGGAUUAAUUCGAUGCAACGCGAAGAACCUUACCUGGGUUUGACAUGCACCAGACGGUCGUAGAGAUACGUACCUCCCUUUGUGGUUGGUGUGCAGGUGGUGCAUGGUUGUCGUCAGCUCGUGUCGUGAGAUGUUGGGUUAAGUCCCGCAACGAGCGCAACCCUUGUCUUAUGUUGCCAGCACUUUGGGUGGGGACUCAUGAGAGACUGCCGGGGUUAACUCGGAGGAAGGUGGGGAUGACGUCAAAUCAUCAUGCCCUUUAUGCCCAGGGCUUCACACAUGCUACAAUGGUUAGUACAACGCGCUGCGAGCCUGUGAGGGUGAGCGAAUCGCUGAAAGCUAAUCUCAGUUCGGAUUGGGGUCUGCAACUCGACCCCAUGAAGUCGGAGUCGCUAGUAAUCGCAGAUCAGCAAUGCUGCGGUGAAUACGUUCCCGGGCCUUGUACACACCGCCCGUCACGUCAUGAAAGUUGGUAACACCCGAAGCCCAUGGCCUAACCACCA
This 822-nucleotide ribosomal RNA is filed under the name uncultured bacterium. RNAcentral describes it as "bacterial SSU rRNA". It matches the Rfam family "Bacterial small subunit ribosomal RNA", at positions 624 to 1444 of the family's 1533-position model. The record is from RNAcentral.